UGCCUACGGGGGGCAGCAGUCGGGAAUAUUGCGCAAUGGAGGAAACUCUGACGCAGUGACGCCGCGUGCAGGAAGAAGGCUUUCGGAUUGUAAACUGCUUUAGACAGGGAAGAUAAUGACAGUACCUGUAGAAUAAGCUCCGGCUGACUACGUGCCAGCAGCCGCGGUAAUACGUAGGGAGCAAGCGUUAUCCGGAUUUAUUGGGUGUAAAGGGUGCGUAGACGGGAAUGCAAGUUAGUAGUGAAAUCCCUCGGCUUAACUGAGGAACUGCAACUAAAACUCCAUUUCUUGAGUUCUGGAGAGGA
Molecule: ribosomal RNA, 305 nt
Filed under: uncultured bacterium
Lineage: Bacteria
Description: bacterial SSU rRNA
Rfam family: Bacterial small subunit ribosomal RNA
Source: RNAcentral